CCGCUGAGCUCCUGUCCUGCCUCCUGGAAGCCUGUGGGUUGCUAACAACCCCGUGAGGACACCAAUGCAGUUGGAAAGAGGAGAUGCAGAGGCAACACAUGAAGUGUUUGAGCUCCACAGAGGAUUGGAACAAGCAACCUAUGUGUCCCGGGACAGCUGUACAGAGCACGAAUCAGUCUGGGGAUCAAUCUCCGCUUCAAACAAAGGGUAUUUUGAAAAUGAACCGGCUUUUAAUUCCAGCUCGCGAUGCACACUUUGGACUGAAAUCAAAUCUAGAAAUAGCGAUGUGUCAAGGAGAAGCUGAAACCUCACGCUCUGGGUGCAAUCAUAAAACUUGCUGCUGCAGCUUCUAAUCAGGGAAGAGAUCAUCUAAUCAAAAUAGUGCUUUAGAGAAAGAACACUUUAAUAGCAAACGUGAGUGAGGAGCUCUAACUACUGAUGAAAACUCCACUGCUCGGAAGUCCUCUGCCGGAUGGGGAAGCAAAGGAUAAAGGAGAAGCAGAGGUGCUGAGCCCCUGUUACCUGCAGCAGAAGUCCCCCCUUGACACUCCUGUGUGCACUGAGGAGAGAAGCAGGGAGCUGAAAGGGACAGCUUUCAUUGUCGGCCUUAUACGCAGACUCUUCUGAUGCCAACUGGGAGCGUUGGGCCACGCGGGAG
This is a long non-coding RNA of Cuculus canorus (common cuckoo), 658 nucleotides long. RefSeq lists it as uncharacterized. The transcript is spliced from 4 exons. The record is from RefSeq and is a predicted model, not a curated record. NCBI's taxonomy places the organism in Eukaryota, Metazoa, Chordata, Aves, Cuculiformes, Cuculidae.